This 345-nucleotide ribosomal RNA is filed under the name uncultured Verrucomicrobiota bacterium. Its description in RNAcentral is "bacterial SSU rRNA". It matches the Rfam family "Bacterial small subunit ribosomal RNA", at positions 1033 to 1378 of the family's 1533-position model. The record is from RNAcentral. Lineage: Bacteria; Pseudomonadati; Verrucomicrobiota.
CACAGGUGCUGCAUGGCUGUCGUCAGCUCAUGUCGUGAGAUGUUCGGUUAAGUCCGGCAACGAGCGCAACCCUCGUUCCUAGUUGCCAGCCGGUAAUGCCGGGGACUCUAGGAAGACAAACUCGUGUAGAGGUGGGAAGGUGGGGACGACGUCAAGUCAGUAUGGCCCUUACGACCAGGGCUGCACACGUGCUACAAUGCUUGGUACAAUGGGAUGCAACACCGCGAGGUUGAGCUAAUCCACAAAACCAAGCCCAGUUCGGAUUGGAGUCUGCAACUCGACUCCAUGAAGUUGGAAUCGCUAGUAAUGGCGUAUCAGCAACGACGCCGUGAAUACGUUCCCGGG